This 1946-nucleotide long non-coding RNA is filed under the name Mus musculus (house mouse). Its description in RNAcentral is "long non-coding RNA chr6:9260487-9262433". Lineage: Eukaryota; Metazoa; Chordata; Mammalia; Rodentia; Muridae. The record is from RNAcentral.
GUUAAAACUAGCUGAGGGAAGUAAUGACCUGAUAAUGUCCUAAGCAUUUCCUUCUUAUGAAUAUAGGACUUCUGAAAUUAUUUAAAAUUUGAAUAUAAAUAGUAAUUUUUAUAGAAAUUUUUAAUUACUUGUUUUUAUAAAUCUGUGAAAAUCUUAUUUUAUAUAAUCAAUUUCCUUUGAAUUACUUUUUAAAAAUAUUGUUUUUUAUUUUAAAAAUUCUAUCAUUAUGUCAUUUUACUUUUUCAUAUAUAUGUUCUCAGAUUGGCAGAAAAAAAUAGUAUUAGAGAGAGGAGGAAAUGAAGUCUUUGGCUAAGUCACUGGUUCAGGCCACAAAGGAGUAAAUUCCUGAUUUCCUGCUCUGCCAGACAUUCCUAAAUGACCUGAUAUAUGUUUUUUUUUUUUUUAUUAGAAUUGAUGUAAGGUAUAUGCAAACAGGGAACUACACCAAUUAAAAAGUGAGAAGACAAACAAAAUCUAAAAUUAACUGAAGAAUUUUAUGGCAAUAUUAUCAAAAAAUAGAGGUGUUUUUGUAGUGAGGGAUGAGGUAGUUUGUAGGCAUGCAGAAAGCACUAUAAUAUUUUGCACCAAAUUAUAUUCUUGAUUUUAAUCCAGUUUAUUUGCAUUAGAAAUUAGAUGCCAAUUUUCAAUUUUCUAUAAAAAUUCACAUGAGUAGAAUAUCACACAAGUGUUAGGAAACCUCAUCUACUUUAUCAUCAAGAUAAAGAACUUCUUGGUACAUUUCUCACCAACUUCUAUAUGAAAUCUAUUGUGCCAGCAAUCCUUUGUUGUGAAAUACCUGAGAUUAGCAACUUAAAUAGAGGAGUGAUUUGUUUUUCGUUUACAAUCAUUGGCUUUGGUCUGUGCAUAAAUUGUUCCUUGCUUUCUUGACCAGUGGUGAGGUAGAACUUCGUGAUAUGGAGUAUGUGGUGGAACAAACAUGUUCACUUCCUGCUAGCUGGGAAGCUAAAAGAGAGGGGAAGGGACCAGAGUCUCAAUAAAACUUUCUUUUUUUUUUCCCACAAAGGGAACAAGAGAGAGUUUAUUCAGGGGCCCUUUUGAAUGACCAUGUCCAGGGAACCUGUUAAAGUUAGUAAAAUACAGUGGUGGAUACAUCAGAAAGACCAGUACAGCAAGAUGAGGGAGGCCUUACAAUGGUCUCCAGGUGCUAUCUUGUCGCAUUCCUAGCUUCUGGAUUGGUAGAAGCUAAUAGUUAACAGAUUCCAGAAGGUUUCAUCUAUUAUCACAGGAUGUUUGUUCCAACAUAGACAUGGGCAACGAAUAGCUGCUCUGGGGCUAAAACUAGCCCGAUACAAGGUAACUGGGCCCUGAGCCUCCAACAUUCCUUAAAACUUUCAAAGCAUGAAAACAACUGUGUGGCUUGCUUCUUCAGGAGUCUACAUUAUAGACAUUCCAUCUCUUUCCAACAGUGUCUCAGUCCUGCAACCUUACAUAUGCUCCUUUGGGGACUGUGUACAAUCUAUACUGUUAAAAUUACAAUAUGAGACUGCGAGCCAAAUAAACACCAAUCUCACUCUGGCCUGAAAUAUAUUUCUUCUAAAACCAGGAGGAAAGUAAGUUGAUAAUAUCACCCCUGUGCAAGUGACUUUGUAAUUCUGCUAAAAUACUGUAUGGCAGUGCAGGAGAUUUAGGGCUUUCUGGGAUGAUUUAUGUUCACUAAAUCUGGCAAGCUGUCAUCCCGAGGCAUAUUUACGGAUUCGGUGUCUCCGCUACUGCUCUUCUUGCGGGGAAGAAACAUCUCCCGGAUCCACGCUCUCUAGGAGGAAAGGAAGUGGUACCGCACAUUUUGAUGCUAUUUUUCAAGGUUUACUUCCCAUUGUUGAAACUUUAUGAAGGCAAAAUACAGAUCCUUGUAUCAGCAUUUAAUUCUUUAUAUAAACUAGUAGAGAAGCCUGGUCCCUGAAGGGGAAACAUGGUGCCUUGAAUCC